GCAGCUGAACAUGAAUCAGCAAAGUGUCCAGGUGGCCAAGAAGUCCAGUGGCAUCCUGGCCUGUAUCAGAAAUUUUGUGGCCAGCAGGACCAGCGCAGUGAUUGUCCCUGUAUUGGGCACUGGUGAGGCCACUCCUGGAAUCCUGUAUUCCAGGGGCCCAAAACUGGGCCCCUCACUACAAGAAGGAAUUUAAGGUGCUGGAGUGUGUCCAGAGAAAGGCAAUGGAGCUGGGGAAAGGUCUGGAGCACAAGUAUGAUGAGAAGCAGCUGAAGGAGCUGGAGGUGUUUAGCCUGAAGUAAAGGAGGCUUAGGGGAUGCCUCAUUACUUUCUACAACUGCCUGAAUGAGGCUGAAUUGAGGUUGGCCUCUUUAAUCAAUGACUGAUAGGAUGAGAAGAAAUGGCCUCAAGUUGCACCAGGGAAGAUUAAGGUUGGAUAUUAGGGAAAGAUUCUUCACAGAAAAUUUGUCAAGCUCUGGAACAGGAUGUUCAGGACAGUGGUAGAGCCAUCACCUUUGGAGACACACAGAAGUCAAAGGAAUUGUCUGAGGCUGAAAUGAAAUCAAUAUUAGAGUACCAUUCAGAGUGUUUUCAUGAUCGUCAUCCAAAGGUCAAACUUUUUAUGCCAUUGUACCUGGAGACAGAAACAAAGAUAUCUAAGCUUUACUUAUUUUCACCUGACACUGAAAUAGAAAUGCCAUGUCUACAAAUCUCAGAUGUUCCAGUACCAAAUAGCUGACAAAUAAGGAGGAUAGAAAAGAAAAAAGAAAAAGCAAAAAUAAAGAGGAUAAC
This is a long non-coding RNA of Vidua chalybeata, 789 nucleotides long. RefSeq lists it as uncharacterized. NCBI's taxonomy places the organism in Eukaryota, Metazoa, Chordata, Aves, Passeriformes, Viduidae. The transcript is spliced from 3 exons. The record is from RefSeq and is a predicted model, not a curated record.